RNAcentral lists this ribosomal RNA (301 nucleotides) under uncultured bacterium. RNAcentral's name for it is "partial 16S ribosomal RNA". It matches the Rfam family "Bacterial small subunit ribosomal RNA", at positions 509 to 807 of the family's 1533-position model. The record is from RNAcentral.
CAGUCGCCGCGGGAAUACAGAGGGUGCAAGCGUUAAUCGGAAUUACUGGGCGUAAAGCGCGCGUAGGUGGUUUGUUAAGUUGGAUGUGUAAUCCCCGGGCUCAACCUGGGAACUGCAUCCAAAACUGGCAAGCUAGAGUAUGGUAGAGGGUGGUGGAAUUUCCUGUGUAGCGGUGAAAUGCGUAGAUAUAGGAAGGAACACCAGUGGCGAAGGCGACCACCUGGACUGAUACUGACACUGAGGUGCGAAAGCGUGGGGAGCAAACAGGAUUAGAUACCCGAGUAGUCCCUGUCUCUUAUAC